This is a ribosomal RNA of Carassius auratus (goldfish), 121 nucleotides long. Lineage: Eukaryota; Metazoa; Chordata; Actinopteri; Cypriniformes; Cyprinidae. The record is from Ensembl.
GCUUACCGCCAUACCAACCUGGCUGAUGCCCGAUCUCGUCUGAUCUCGGAAGCUAAGCAGGUUUGGGCCUGGUUAGUACUUGGAUGGGAGACCGCCUGGGAAUACCAGGUACUUGUAAGCU